Molecule: long non-coding RNA, 1090 nt
Organism: Alligator mississippiensis (American alligator)
Lineage: Eukaryota; Metazoa; Chordata; Crocodylia; Alligatoridae
Exons: 3
Source: RefSeq, a predicted model, not a curated record
UUCAGGCACUGAUUUGAUUCGGAGGAGAUUCAGCCCAAUUCAGCAGCUGAAUUUCCAAAUCCGAAUUGAAUUGGGAGACCAAUAAAAAGGUCCAAAUCAAUUUGGAAAAGAUUUGGAGAGCUUCAGAGAUUUGGGCAGCCCCCACUCAGCACCACAGGGAACUGGACCCAGACUCCAUGAUGGUUGGCUGAUCUCCUAUGCUGGGCUUUAAACUACCUCGGAUGAGGGACGGAGAGGCAGAAGGAGGAGAACAUCAGGAACCUUCAAUCCAUGGGACAUCCAGCAGUACAGCACAGGAGGCCCUUGGCAUGUUUGAAAGAUCUGAAAAGUGAUGUCAUAUCAGGUUGUAAAGAGCUAUACUUCUCCACUCUUCCCCAAAAUGAUAAAAGUACUGAGACUAAAAAUACUGGAAACUCAGCAUCCCUCCUCAACAUGGAAAAAAAUGCAAUUCAGAUUACUUCCUUACAGAUAAUAAUGGGCAAAAUCAUAUCUUUUGUUUAUGUUGCUUUGCAAUUCACCUUUAUAGAAGAUACCAUUAAUUUAAAGGGUGGAAGUAAUUAAAGUUUAAUAGGACUUGAAGCUGAAAAACAAAUGUUCUGUGAUCUCCCUUAAAACAUUACAGCAAGGAGAUAAUCUUUAUAUAUAUUUCAAAUGUAUACAUCAGUGUUGGGGUUUCCCCCCACCCCCUCUUUUGAACAUAGGAAGCAAGAAUCCGACACAUUUGUUACAAAUGUUUUUAGUUAAACCAUUAGUUCAGCAAGUUUAAAUAAAAAACCACAGGAAAAUAAACCACCCAUGAAUGUAACUAAUACAGAGAGUUGUAAUGACUAAUUCUGCGGUACAGACUUGAAAGCAUAUUUUUUUCCAUCACAUUAGAAGCCUAGUCUGCCCUUGAAAACUCAUUUGAAACUCAGCCAAGGAAAUAAAAAACAAAAGACUCCCUCCAUUGCCUUUAUCUUAUUGUUCUAUUUUUUCUCUUCAAGUUGCAGUUCUAUGUCUAGAGGUGCCUUAAGUAUUUGAAGAAUCAUUUAGCAUUCUUUUUGCUGUGUGCAAUGCUGAUGAAACUAUUAACUUUGGGAAAGAAAAAUAU